AUAGCUAGGGCUGCCCUUGUUGGGACUGCUAGAAAUCUGUUCUUACCAGUUUAAUAUCUGAUACGUCCUCUAUCUGAGGACUAUUAAAUAGAUUUUUGGAACAGGGAGAUGGAAUAGGAGCUUGCUCCAUCCACUCCACACAUCGACCUGGUAUUGCAGUACCUCCAGGAACUGUGCACCUCCC
This 184-nucleotide small nuclear RNA is filed under the name Chelydra serpentina (North American snapping turtle). RNAcentral describes it as "U2 spliceosomal RNA (ENSCSRG00000010856.1)". It matches the Rfam family "U2 spliceosomal RNA". Rfam says of the family: U2 is a small nuclear RNA (snRNA) component of the spliceosome (involved in pre-mRNA splicing). Complementary binding between U2 snRNA (in an area lying towards the 5' end but 3' to hairpin I) and the branchpoint sequence (BPS) of the intron results the bulging out of an unpaired adenosine, on the BPS, which initiates a nucleophilic attack at the intronic 5' splice site, thus starting the first of two transesterification reactions that mediate splicing. Lineage: Eukaryota; Metazoa; Chordata; Testudines; Chelydridae. The record is from Rfam by way of RNAcentral.